This 76-nucleotide non-coding RNA is filed under the name Kribbella flavida. RNAcentral's name for it is "ZTP sequence". It matches the Rfam family "ZMP/ZTP riboswitch aptamer (pfl RNA motif)". Rfam says of the family: Previously known as pfl RNA. ZMP is also known as AICAR. RNAcentral also lists the same sequence under 1 other name. The record is from RNAcentral. Lineage: Bacteria; Bacillati; Actinomycetota; Actinomycetes; Propionibacteriales; Kribbellaceae.
CUGGUCGGACACGACUGGCGAGGGUGGGUCACCACCGGGGAGUGAAGCCGGGACAUCGACCGCCUGGGUGGCCUCA